RNAcentral lists this non-coding RNA (31 nucleotides) under Mus musculus (house mouse). The record is from RNAcentral. Lineage: Eukaryota; Metazoa; Chordata; Mammalia; Rodentia; Muridae.
UGAAGCAGGUCAAGCUUACCAUUGUGAAGGC